GCCCUAAAAGCUCUCUGAAGAGCACCAGGUCUUGUAAACCAGGAGGGAGGGUUAAAGUCCCUAUUAGGGCU
RNAcentral lists this transfer RNA (71 nucleotides) under Nacospatangus altus. RNAcentral's name for it is "Nacospatangus alta tRNA-Thr". It matches the Rfam family "tRNA". From Rfam's summary of the family: Transfer RNA (tRNA) molecules are approximately 80 nucleotides in length. Their secondary structure includes four short double-helical elements and three loops (D, anti-codon, and T loops). Lineage: Eukaryota; Metazoa; Echinodermata; Echinoidea; Spatangoida; Maretiidae. The record is from RNAcentral.